GAGAAACUUGCUUCUCUGAAGUUAGCGGCGGACGGGUGAGUAACACGUGGGUAACCUACCUAUAAGACUGGGAUAACUCCGGGAAACCGGGGCUAAUACCGGAUAAUAUUUUGAACCGCAUGGUUCAAUAGUGAAAGACGGUUUCGGCUGUCACUUAUAGAUGGACCCGCGCCGUAUUAGCUAGUUGGUAAGGUAACGGCUUACCAAGGCGACGAUACGUAGCCGACCUGAGAGGGUGAUCGGCCACACUGGAACUGAGACACGGUCCAGACUCCUACGGGAGGCAGCAGUAGGGAAUCUUCCGCAAUGGGCGAAAGCCUGACGGAGCAACGCCGCGUGAGUGAUGAAGGUCUUCGGAUCGUAAAACUCUGUUGUUAGGGAAGAACAAAUUUGUUAGUAACUGAACAAGUCUUGACGGUACCUAACCAGAAAGCCACGGCUAACUACGUGCCAGCAGCCGCGGUAAUACGUAGGUGGCAAGCGUUAUCCGGAAUUAUUGGGCGUAAAGCGCGCGUAGGCGGUUUCUUAAGUCUGAUGUGAAAGCCCACGGCUCAACCGUGGAGGGUCAUUGGAAACUGGGAAACUUGAGUGCAGAAGAGGAGAGUGGAAUUCCAUGUGUAGCGGUGAAAUGCGCAGAGAUAUGGAGGAACACCAGUGGCGAAGGCGGCUCUCUGGUCUGUAACUGACGCUGAUGUGCGAAAGCGUGGGGAUCAAACAGGAUUAGAUACCCUGGUAGUCCACGCCGUAAACGAUGAGUGCUAAGUGUUAGGGGGUUUCCGCCCCUUAGUGCUGCAGCUAACGCAUUAAGCACUCCGCCUGGGGAGUACGACCGCAAGGUUGAAACUCAAAGGAAUUGACGGGGACCCGCACAAGCGGUGGAGCAUGUGGUUUAAUUCGAAGCAACGCGAAGAACCUUACCAAAUCUUGACAUCCUUUGACCGCUCUAGAGAUAGAGUCUUCCCCUUCGGGGGACAAAGUGACAGGUGGUGCAUGGUUGUCGUCAGCUCGUGUCGUGAGAUGUUGGGUUAAGUCCCGCAACGAGCGCAACCCUUAAGCUUAGUUGCCAUCAUUAAGUUGGGCACUCUAGGUUGACUGCCGGUGACAAACCGGAGGAAGGUGGGGAUGACGUCAAAUCAUCAUGCCCCUUAUGAUUUGGGCUACACACGUGCUACAAUGGAUAAUACAAAGGGCAGCGAAUCCGCGAGGCCAAGCAAAUCCCAUAAAAUUAUUCUCAGUUCGGAUUGUAGUCUGCAACUCGACUACAUGAAGCUGGAAUCGCUAGUAAUCGUAGAUCAGCAUGCUACGGUGAAUACGUUCCCGGGUCUUGUACACACCGCCCGUCUAAAACGAGAGUUUGUAA
RNAcentral lists this ribosomal RNA (1360 nucleotides) under Staphylococcus sp. SV4. Its description in RNAcentral is "bacterial SSU rRNA". It matches the Rfam family "Bacterial small subunit ribosomal RNA", at positions 73 to 1417 of the family's 1533-position model. The record is from RNAcentral. Lineage: Bacteria; Bacillati; Bacillota; Bacilli; Caryophanales; Staphylococcaceae.